This 67-nucleotide non-coding RNA is filed under the name unclassified sequences. The record is from Rfam.
GCCCGCUGAACCGAACUGUCACCGUAUGGUGCGCGUGCCCCGCAAGGGGAUAGGGAGGCGGGCUCUU